Molecule: non-coding RNA, 83 nt
Organism: Patiria miniata (bat star)
Lineage: Eukaryota; Metazoa; Echinodermata; Asteroidea; Valvatida; Asterinidae
Source: the annotation of a RefSeq genome assembly
GCGUCGGUGGCCGAGCGGUUAAGGCGAUGGAUUUAAGUUCCAUUGGGCAUAUGCCUUCGCGGGUUCGAAUCCCGUCCGAUGCG